Molecule: ribosomal RNA, 269 nt
Filed under: uncultured prokaryote
Description: partial 16S ribosomal RNA
Rfam family: Bacterial small subunit ribosomal RNA
Source: RNAcentral
UACGGAGGAUGCAAGCGUUAUCCGGAUUUAUUGGGUUUAAAGGGUGCGUAGGCGGGAGAUUAAGUCAGUGGUGAAAUCCUGCAGCUUAACUGUAGAACUGCCAUUGAUACUGGUUUCCUUGAGUAUAGUUGAAGUGGGCGGAAUGUGUAUUGUAGCGGUGAAAUGCUUAGAUAUUACACAGAACACCUAUUGCGAAGGCAGCUCACUAAACUAAUACUGACGCUGAGGCACGAAAGCGUGGGGAGCAAACAGGAUUAGAUACCCCGGUA